This is a long non-coding RNA of Hibiscus syriacus, 662 nucleotides long. RefSeq lists it as uncharacterized. NCBI's taxonomy places the organism in Eukaryota, Viridiplantae, Streptophyta, Magnoliopsida, Malvales, Malvaceae. The transcript has 3 exons. The record is from RefSeq and is a predicted model, not a curated record.
CAGAGCCUUUUUCUAUUCUAUAUACCUUUUUUCACAUAUAAGGAGAGCUCAAUUGAUAUAUGGAGCAUGGGCAGUUUGUGGACUAUAGCAGUUGUUAUUCUUGUUAAUAUACACUUGGCGAUGGACAUUCAGCGUUGGGUAUUCAUUACUCAUGCUGCAGUGUGGGGAUCAAUAAUUAUCACAUGUGCUUGUAUGGUGGUAUUGGAUUCUAUACCUAUCUUCCCAGAUUACUGGGCAAUCUACCAUGUGGCAAAGUCACCCACCUAUUGGCUCACCAUUUUGCUUAUAAUAAUUGUGGAUUUACUUCCUCGCUUUCUUCUCAAAGUUAUACAUCAGAAUUUUUGGCCUUCAGAUAUUCAAAUAUCCAGAGAAGCAGAGAUUCUUAGAAAAGUGACUCCUAAUUUUAGGGACAGAUGAAGAUUCCAAUUAACAUGUACAUUACACCCUGUUUUGAAAUGGUUACUCAUGUCUAUCCAUCAUAUGGCUGUCCUGUGGCAUGCAAUUGUAAUUUAUGAUGAUGAGUUGCAAAAAGCUGAAUUUGCAGCAGGCUUGUGAAACAUUAAUGAAAAAGCACGGCAGAAUAUUUUUAUGUAAAGGGAAAGAGAGGGAGGGUUGGUCAAAGUGAACGCAGAGUGGCCUGUUGCUGUAUACUUCAUGUUUUU